ACGGGAGACACACGGCGGGUGCUAACGUCCGUCGUGAAGAGGGAAACAACCCAGACCGCCAGCUAAGGUCCCAAAGUCAUGGUUAAGUGGGAAACGAUGUGGGAAGGCCCAGACAGCCAGGAUGUUGGCUUAGAAGCAGCCAUCAUUUAAAGAAAGCGUAAUAGCUCACUGGUCGAGUCGGCCUGCGCGGAAGAUGUAACGGGGCUAAACCAUGCACCGAAGCUGCGGCAGCGACGCUUAUGCGUUGUUGGGUAGGGGAGCGUUCUGUAAGCCUGCGAAGGUGUGCUGUGAGGCAUGCUGGAGGUAUCAGAAGUGCGAAUGCUGACAUAAGUAACGAUAAAGCGGGUGAAAAGCCCGCUCGCCGGAAGACCAAGGGUUCCUGUCCAACGUUAAUCGGGGCAGGGUGAGUCGACCCCUAAGGCGAGGCCGAAAGGCGUAGUCGAUGGGAAACAGGUUAAUAUUCCUGUACUUGGUGUUACUGCGAAGGGGGGACGGAGAAGGCUAUGUUGGCCGGGCGACGGUUGUCCCGGUUUAAGCGUGUAGGCUGGUUUUCCAGGCAAAUCCGGAAAAUCAAGGCUGAGGCGUGAUGACGAGGCACUACGGUGCUGAAGCAACAAAUGCCCUGCUUCCAGGAAAAGCCUCUAAGCAUCAGGUAACAUCAAAUCGUACCCCAAACCGACACAGGUGGUCAGGUAGAGAAUACCAAGGCGCUUGAGAGAACUCGGGUGAAGGAACUAGGCAAAAUGGUGCCGUAACUUCGGGAGAAGG
Molecule: ribosomal RNA, 768 nt
Filed under: Escherichia coli
Lineage: Bacteria; Pseudomonadati; Pseudomonadota; Gammaproteobacteria; Enterobacterales; Enterobacteriaceae
Also listed under: 1 other name
Description: partial 23S ribosomal RNA
Rfam family: Bacterial large subunit ribosomal RNA
Source: RNAcentral